GAUGCUUGAACUCUGCUCAGAAAUGCCUUCCCUUGAAUAACCACAAAAGUGGAGAAAGAAGAUGAAAAAAGAAACAGUAUGAGAGGAUGUCCCACUGGUGGGGGAUUGAACAAGCGGCUGUGUGGGGCUUAGUUGCCAGCUGGAGUGAAACCAUGGCAGAAAUCUAAACAAGUUGUUUUAAAAUCCCUGCUUUCAAGCUCUGGAAAUGCUGCUCAUCGAACUCCCUGAACAAUUCAGAAAACAUCUCAGCUGAAGAACAAAACAUGGCUUAUGUGCCUGUGUUACAGCAGUUGGAGGAAAGUACUAAUACUAUAAAUGCUUUAUAUUACUUUGCAUAACUGGCAUCACAACCUUUGUUUAAUAUUCAAGUAAGAUUAGACAGAUAAAGAAGGAAGGCAAGAGGAGGAAAACUUAAGCAAGCCUUGGUUAAGGCAGUCUAAAGGUCAAAAUUAUAAUAUUAA
Long non-coding RNA from Pipra filicauda (Wire-tailed manakin), 461 nucleotides. RefSeq lists it as uncharacterized. The record is from RefSeq and is a predicted model, not a curated record. The transcript has 3 exons. NCBI's taxonomy places the organism in Eukaryota, Metazoa, Chordata, Aves, Passeriformes, Pipridae.